Molecule: ribosomal RNA, 486 nt
Filed under: uncultured Proteus sp.
Lineage: Bacteria; Pseudomonadati; Pseudomonadota; Gammaproteobacteria; Enterobacterales; Morganellaceae
Description: bacterial SSU rRNA
Rfam family: Bacterial small subunit ribosomal RNA
Source: RNAcentral
AUUGAACGCUGGCGGCAGGCCUAACACAUGCAAGUCGAGCGGUAACAGGAGAAAGCUUGCUUUCUUGCUGACGAGCGGCGGACGGGUGAGUAAUGUAUGGGGAUCUGCCCGAUAGAGGGGGAUAACUACUGGAAACGGUGGCUAAUACCGCAUGACGUCUACGGACCAAAGCAGGGGCUCUUCGGACCUUGCGCUAUCGGAUGAACCCAUAUGGGAUUAGCUAGUAGGUGAGGUAAUGGCUCACCUAGGCGACGAUCUCUAGCUGGUCUGAGAGGAUGAUCAGCCACACUGGGACUGAGACACGGCCCAGACUCCUACGGGAGGCAGCAGUGGGGAAUAUUGCACAAUGGGCGCAAGCCUGAUGCAGCCCAUGCCGCGUGUAUGGAAAGAAGGCCUUUAGGGGUUGUUAAAGUACUUUCAGCGGGGAGGAAGGUGUUAAGAUUAAUACUCUUAGCAAUUGACGUUACCCGCAGAAGAAGCACCGGC